RNAcentral lists this long non-coding RNA (1875 nucleotides) under Salvia miltiorrhiza (redroot sage). RNAcentral's name for it is "long non-coding RNA (SMIL_LNC007615)". Lineage: Eukaryota; Viridiplantae; Streptophyta; Magnoliopsida; Lamiales; Lamiaceae. The record is from RNAcentral.
GAUGUCCGAGCCCGAUGGGGAGGGUACAGGGAUCAGUAGGCACGUGGGCGGGUCCCAGUCGACUCGUAUCCUGCAGCAGUAUAUGGUAUGUAAUUAACAAAUAAUUAAGUAUAUAAAUUAAAUUAAUAUAUUGACUAAUAUAACUUAUUUAUCUUAUAUAAAUGCAUCUACAGAGCUUGGAUCCUGAUACUCCCCAGGAUGCACCGAACUAUGCCACCUUCCUCCGCCUCCACAUGUACGCCGACGGAAGUUAUACGUCGGAGAGAGAUGCAAGAAUUGACGUAAGUGUUUAAGUUUAUUCAAAUAUUUAGUGAAUGUAUUUAUUUUCUAACAAUUAUGCAUUGUUAUGUAUGAAUUAGGCCGAGGUUCAUCGACUGGCCGCUGCCACAGGACGACAGGAGCGGCUAGACGAGGUGUAUUUGGAGGUGGUGCAUCCGGAUAGGUCACGGAUCUACGGCGUCGGGAGUGCCGGGCAGAGUCAGGCUAGUAGGGGGUCUAUCCGCAGCACGGGCAGUUCUGCGGUGUCUCAGCAGCUUUAUGAGACACGGAUCUCCACGCUGGAGGAGCGAUUGGCGGCAGAGCAAGCACAACGCCAACAGAUGGAGGACCGCAUGGCGGCAGAGCAAGCAGCACGCCAACAGAUGCAGGACCGCAUGGCUCAAUUGGAGGCGUUUAUGAGGAUGUAUAAUGCUCAGCCACCUCCAGGGCCUGAUGCCGAUGAUGAUGAUGAUGAUGCUUAGAAUUAUUAAAACUAUAUAUUUAUGUUUUCAAACAAAAUUACAUUUGCACUUUCUUUUCAAAUUUAUGUUUUAUUGAACUAUAUAUUUCAAGUGCUUUAAUUAUUAAAACUAUAUAUGUUUUAUAUAUUUAUGGCAAUGAUGAUGAUGAUUGCAUUUAACAUAAACAAAUAAAUUCAAAUCACAUUAUAAUAACCAAAUUAAAACACUUUUGGUGUAUUAAUGUUAAAAAAAUAAUAAUAAUAAUUAAUUAAUUAAUUAUUAAAUAUUAAUUAAAUAUUUUACCGACGAUAAAAAUAAGGACCGAAACGAACUCGAUCACUAAUUAACAACAUAUUUCAGGUAUUAUCUCCACAUAUUCAAAGAUUAUAAUUAUAUGAGUGAGUAUAUAGCAUUUAAAUGAAUUAAUAGAUGUAGAUAUAUCAAUAAUACGAGUGUUCUGUACUGGUGAUCACUCGAAAAGAAUUUCAAAGUUAAGCGUGCUUGACACAGAGCACAAGCAAGAUGGGUGACCCACUGGGAAGUCGGGUCGCCGACUGGGAAGUUCGUCUAAAGUAUGCAAUACCGUAUAAAUACGGAAAUAAAUUGUGGAUAUACAAUAUACAAUAAAAUAAAUAAAUAAAUAAAUAAAUAAAUAAAAUAAAAUAAAAUAAAAAAAUAAAAUAAAAAACAUUACCGUGGGCAAAACGCCGUCGGUAGUUACCGACGGCAAUUUGCCCUCGGUAAAUACACGGCCAUCCUCCGGCAUGACCACCGGCCGGCGGUAGCUUGGUACCGACGGCGUUUUGCCGCCGCUAUUUACCGGCGGUAAUCGCCGUCGCUAGUUUUCCGGCAAGGUCAGCCGGAAUCCGGUGGCUCGCUACCGACGGCAAAAUAGCCCUCGGUAACUAGCGGCGGUGUAUGCCGCCGCUAAUUCUCCGGCUAGGCUCCGCCGUUUAACGGCGACAAUUCCGGCGGCAUCGCCGCCGUUAACUGCCGACGGCGGAUGUUCGCCGCCGUUAUUGUCGUUGCCGACGAACCUUUUAGCGGCGGGAGCUUGCCGCCGUUAUCGCCGCCGGUAACACUAUUUACCGGCGGCCGUCUUUUGUUACCGACGGCAUUUAGCCGUCGGUAAUCAACGAUUUUUUUGUAGUGAUCA